Molecule: unclassified non-coding RNA, 281 nt
Filed under: Hevea brasiliensis (rubber tree)
Lineage: Eukaryota; Viridiplantae; Streptophyta; Magnoliopsida; Malpighiales; Euphorbiaceae
Source: RNAcentral
UCCGAGUCGCUUGUUCAAGGCUUCAUUCCACAUGUUGGCAGCAUAAGCAGGUUGUAUUUGGUUCCAUACUGUCAUAACAGAUGCAACCAGGUGUGCAUCCAAGGGAGGUGGAUAGUUCCCGCUAACAGUGUCUAUCCAGCUAAAUAUCAUGUUAUGAUAUCCAUAAGGUUUGCCAUUCAUACUCAAUGCAUACUCCCAUGCGGCAGUCUCAUUAAACUUGGCUCGCAAAUCAGGAUGAAGAGGAAGCAGCGCAAUAUGUGGAUUAGAGUCAUCCUUAGUCA